CGGAGGCAGCAGUAAGGAAUAUUGGGCAAUGGGCGAAAGCCUGACCCAGCCAUGCCGCGUGAAGGAUGAAUGCCCUAUGGGUUGUAAACUUCUUUUGUACGGGACAAAACUCUCGAACGUGUUCGGGAUUGAAGGUACUGUAUGAAUAAGCAUCGGCUAACUCCGUGCCAGCAGCCGCGGUAAUACGGAGGAUGCGAGCGUUAUCCGGAUUCAUUGGGUUUAAAGGGUGCGUAGGCGGAAUAAUAAGUCAGCGGUGAAAGCCUGCGGCUUAACCGUAGAAUUGCCAUUGAUACUGUUAUUCUUGAGUAUAGUUGAAGUAGGCGGAAUGUGUAAUGUAGCGGUGAAAUGCUUAGAUAUUACACAGAGCACCAAUUGCGAAGGCAGCUUACUAAGCUGUUACUGACGCUGAGGCACGAAAGCGUGGGGAGCAAACAGGAUUAGAUACCCGCGU
Molecule: ribosomal RNA, 451 nt
Filed under: uncultured bacterium
Lineage: Bacteria
Description: bacterial SSU rRNA
Rfam family: Bacterial small subunit ribosomal RNA
Source: RNAcentral